This is a non-coding RNA of Gemmatimonadetes bacterium 13_1_40CM_4_69_5, 83 nucleotides long. Lineage: Bacteria; Pseudomonadati; Gemmatimonadota. The record is from Rfam.
GGUGGGGUGCCCGAGUGGCCAAAGGGAGCAGACUGUAAAUCUGCCGGCGUCAGCCUACGAAGGUUCGAAUCCUUCCCCCACCA